This 1306-nucleotide long non-coding RNA is filed under the name Gouania willdenowi (blunt-snouted clingfish). RNAcentral describes it as "lncRNA (ENSGWIG00000013438.1)". The record is from RNAcentral. Lineage: Eukaryota; Metazoa; Chordata; Actinopteri; Blenniiformes; Gobiesocidae.
GUUCUGAUGAGGAUGCCAGAACUAAGUUGAGAAUAAAGACUACUCAAACGAGAAACGUGUGGUUCACUGAAAGAAUGAGCAACGAGGCUGAACACGCAACAGGUUAUGGGCCCAGGCACAGCACAGGAGGCCGAUGGCACAGACUGGUUUUCGACGGAGACGAAAACCACUACGAAAUAUGGGAGGUAAAAUUCCUUGCUUACUUGAGAACGCUGGGAUUAAAAGAUACCAUCCUAUCGGCUGAUAACCCAGACCGAGAGAAAAACGAGGAGUGCUAUGCAGAGCUAAUACAGUUCCUCGACGAUAAAAGCCUGUCGUUGGUGAUGAGAGAUGCUGCAGAUAACGGCCGGAAAGCGCUCCAUAUACUACGCGGCCAUUACGCCAGCCACGGUAAACCGAGAAUCAUCGCUCUUUACACAGAGCUCACCUCCCUGUUAAAAGACCCUGGGGAAACAGUGACAGAUUAUAUUUUACGUGCUGAAAAAGCAGCAACGUCUCUGAGAAAUGCAAAUGAGGUGAUAAGUGACGGACUGAUCAUAGCAAUGAUCCUAAAGGGGCUUCCGGAGUCAUACAAGCCUUUUGCUAUUCACACAACUCAGAGCAGUGAAGAAUUAACAUUUAUCCAGUUUAAAAGCAGACUGAGAAGCUACGAAGAGACAGAAAAGUUUGAAAACAAACUGAAGUCAGACAAUGUGAUGAAAGUAGACAUGACAGCUGUAACCUGCUACAAUUGUGGAAAUCGUGGGCAUAUGGCGAGAGACUGCCGUCAAAAGAGUACACCAAAAUGGUGUAACUACCACAGAAGCACAACCCACAGUGAUGAGACAUGCAGAAGAAGAGCCAAACGGAAGGACGACGCCAAGCAGACUUCAGAGAAGCAGGACAACUACGAGGAGGAUCAGACGAUGGUAUUCAAAGCCAGCCAGGAUCUUCUACCUGAUAACAUCAAACUUAAUGGCAUCAUGGUGGACUGUGGAGCCACAUCACAUAUCAUUACAGAUGAGGAGCAGUUCACACAAUUUGACAAGACCUUCGACCCAAAUAAGCACUUUAUGGAGUUGGCGGAUGGAAGCAAGAUGAACAAUGUUGCACUGAAGCGGGGUGAUGCACUGAUUAAGCUGCUGAACUCUGAGGGGAAGUAUGUUAGAGUCACUCUUAAAAAUGCUUUGCUAAUCCCAUCCUAUCCACAGAGCAUUUUUUCAGUGCAAGCAGCUACAGCCCAUGGAGCCAGUGUGACCUUCAUGGAAGGACAAAAUGAACUCCUGUGUAAGGAUGGAACUGUGUUCCCAAUCGAGGUACAUGAGAG